This 76-nucleotide transfer RNA is filed under the name Siphoviridae sp. ctZHD14. RNAcentral describes it as "tRNA-Gly". It matches the Rfam family "tRNA". Rfam says of the family: Transfer RNA (tRNA) molecules are approximately 80 nucleotides in length. Their secondary structure includes four short double-helical elements and three loops (D, anti-codon, and T loops). Lineage: Duplodnaviria; Heunggongvirae; Uroviricota; Caudoviricetes. The record is from RNAcentral.
GCGUCUGUGGUGUUCAAUGGUAGCAUGACAGCCUUCCAAGCUGUGGGAGCGGGUUCGAAUCCCGUCAGACGCUCCA